Molecule: ribosomal RNA, 253 nt
Filed under: uncultured bacterium
Lineage: Bacteria
Description: partial 16S ribosomal RNA
Rfam family: Bacterial small subunit ribosomal RNA
Source: RNAcentral
UACGGAGGGAGCUAGCGUUGUUCGGAAUUACUGGGCGUAAAGCGUGCGUAGGCGGCGAUUCAAGUCAGGGGUGAAAGCCUGGAGCUCAACUCCAGAACUGCCCUUGAAACUAGAUCGCUAGAAUCUUGGAGAGGUUAGUGGAAUUCCGAGUGUAGAGGUGAAAUUCGUAGAUAUUCGGAAGAACACCAGUGGCGAAGGCGACUAACUGGACAAGUAUUGACGCUGAGGUGCGAAAGCGUGGGGAGCAAACAGG